This 109-nucleotide ribosomal RNA is filed under the name Cordylochernes scorpioides. Lineage: Eukaryota; Metazoa; Arthropoda; Arachnida; Pseudoscorpiones; Chernetidae. The record is from RNAcentral.
ACGGUCAUACCACAUUGAAAACACCGGUUCUCGUCCGAUCACCGAAGUUAAGCAAUAUCGGUCAGUACUUGGGAGGGUGACCACCUGGGAACACCGGGUGCUGUUGGCU